Molecule: ribosomal RNA, 262 nt
Filed under: uncultured bacterium
Lineage: Bacteria
Description: partial 16S ribosomal RNA
Rfam family: Bacterial small subunit ribosomal RNA
Source: RNAcentral
CGAAGGGUGCAAGCGUUACUCGGAAUUACUGGGCGUAAAGCGUGCGUAGGUGGUUCGUUAAGUCUGAUGUGAAAGCCCUGGGCGUCAACCUGGGAACGGGCAUUGGAGUACUGGCGGAUCUGGAGGUGCGGUAGAGGGUGGCGGAAUUCCCGGUGUAGCAGUGAAAUAGCGUAGAUAUCGGGAGGAACAUCCGUGGCGAAGGCGGCCACCUGGACCAGCACUGACACUGAGGCACGAAAGCGUGGGGGAGGCAAACAGGAUU